AGCGUACACGGUGGAUGCCCUGGCAGUCAGAGGCGAUGAAGGACGUGCUAAUCUGCGAUAAGCGCCGGUAAGGUGAUAUGAACCGUUAUAACCGGCGAUUUCCGAAUGGGGAAACCCAGUGUGACUCGUCACACUAUCAUUAACUGAAUCCAUAGGUUAAUGAGGCGAACCGGGGGAACUGAAACAUCUAAGUACCCCGAGGAAAAGAAAUCAACCGAGAUUCCCCCAGUAGCGGCGAGCGAACGGGGAGGAGCCCAGAGCCUGAAUCAGCAUGUGUGUUAGUGGAAGCGUCUGGAAAGGCGCGCGAUACAGGGUGACAGCCCCGUACACAAAAGCGCAUAUGCUGUGAGCUCGAUGAGUAGGGCGGGACACGUGGUAUCCUGUCUGAAUAUGGGGGGACCAUCCUCCAAGGCUAAAUACUCCUGACUGACCGAUAGUGAACCAGUACCGUGAGGGAAAGGCGAAAAGAACCCCGGCGAGGGGAGUGAAAAAGAACCUGAAACCGUGUACGUACAAGCAGUGGGAGCACAGGUUUACCUGUGUGACUGCGUACCUUUUGUAUAAUGGGUCAGCGACUUAUAUUCUGUAGCAAGGUUAACCGUAUAGGGGAGCCGGAGGGAAACCGAGUCUUAAUUGGGCGUUAAGUUGCAGGGUAUAGACCCGAAACCCGGUGAUCUAGCCAUGGGCAGGUUGAAGGUUGGGUAACACUAACUGGAGGACCGAACCGACUAAUGUUGAAAAAUUAGCGGAUGACCUGUGGCUGGGGGUGAAAGGCCAAUCAAACCGGGAGAUAGCUGGUUCUCCCCGAAAGCUAUUUAGGUAGCGCCUCGUGAAUUCAUCUCCGGGGGUAGAGCACUGUUUCGGCUAGGGGGCCAUCCCGGCUUACCAACCCGAUGCAAACUGCGAAUACCGGAGAAUGUUAUCACGGGAGACACACGGCGGGUGCUAACGUCCGUCGUGAAGAGGGAAACAACCCAGACCGCCAGCUAAGGUCCCAAAGUCAUGGUUAAGUGGGAAACGAUGUGGGAAGGCCCAGACAGCCAGGAUGUUGGCUUAGAAGCAGCCAUCAUUUAAAGAAAGCGUAAUAGCUCACUGGUCGAGUCGGCCUGCGCGGAAGAUGUAACGGGGCUAAACCAUGCACCGAAGCUGCGGCAGCGACGCUGAUGCGUUGUUGGGUAGGGGAGCGUUCUGUAAGCCUGUGAAGGUGUGUCGUGAGGCAUGCUGGAGGUAUCAGAAGUGCGAAUGCUGACAUAAGUAACGAUAAAGCGGGUGAAAAGCCCGCUCGCCGGAAGACCAAGGGUUCCUGUCCAACGUUAAUCGGGGCAGGGUGAGUCGACCCCUAAGGCGAGGCCGAAAGGCGUAGUCGAUGGGAAACGGGUUAAUAUUCCCGUACUUGGUGUUACUGCGAAGGGGGGACGGAGAAGGCUAUGUUGGCCGGGCGACGGUUGUCCCGGUUUAAGCGUGUAGGUGUGUGUUCCAGGUAAAUCCGGUUCACUUUAACACUGAGGCGUGAUGACGAGGCACUACGGUGCUGAAGCAACAAAUGCCCUGCUUCCAGGAAAAGCCUCUAAGCAUCAGGUAACAUCAAAUCGUACCCCAAACCGACACAGGUGGUCAGGUAGAGAAUACCAAGGCGCUUGAGAGAACUCGGGUGAAGGAACUAGGCAAAAUGGUGCCGUAACUUCGGGAGAAGGCACGCUGACAUGUAGGUGAAGUGAUUUACUCAUGGAGCUGAAGUCAGUCGAAGAUACCAGCUGGCUGCAACUGUUUAUUAAAAACACAGCACUGUGCAAACACGAAAGUGGACGUAUACGGUGUGACGCCUGCCCGGUGCCGGAAGGUUAAUUGAUGGGGUCAGCGCAAGCGAAGCUCCUGAUCGAAGCCCCGGUAAACGGCGGCCGUAACUAUAACGGUCCUAAGGUAGCGAAAUUCCUUGUCGGGUAAGUUCCGACCUGCACGAAUGGCGUAAUGAUGGCCAGGCUGUCUCCACCCGAGACUCAGUGAAAUUGAACUCGCUGUGAAGAUGCAGUGUACCCGCGGCAAGACGGAAAGACCCCGUGAACCUUUACUAUAGCUUGACACUGAACAUUGAGCCUUGAUGUGUAGGAUAGGUGGGAGGCUUUGAAGUGUGGACGCCAGUCUGCAUGGAGCCGGCCUUGAAAUACCACCCUUUAAUGUUUGAUGUUCUAACGUGGACCCGUAAUCCGGGUUGCGGACAGUGUCUGGUGGGUAGUUUGACUGGGGCGGUCUCCUCCUAAAGAGUAACGGAGGAGCACGAAGGUUGGCUAAUCCUGGUCGGACAUCAGGAGGUUAGUGCAAUGGCAUAAGCCAGCUUGACUGCGAGCGUGACGGCGCGAGCAGGUGCGAAAGCAGGUCAUAGUGAUCCGGUGGUUCUGAAUGGAAGGGCCAUCGCUCAACGGAUAAAAGGUACUCCGGGGAUAACAGGCUGAUACCGCCCAAGAGUUCAUAUCGACGGCGGUGUUUGGCACCUCGAUGUCGGCUCAUCACAUCCUGGGGCUGAAGUAGGUCCCAAGGGUAUGGCUGUUCGCCAUUUAAAGUGGUACGCGAGCUGGGUUUAGAACGUCGUGAGACAGUUCGGUCCCUAUCUGCCGUGGGCGCUGGAGAACUGAGGGGGGCUGCUCCUAGUACGAGAGGACCGGAGUGGACGCAUCACUGGUGUUCGGGUUGUCAUGCCAAUGGCACUGCCCGGUAGCUAAAUGCGGAAGAGAUAAGUGCUGAAAGCAUCUAAGCACGAAACUUGCCCCGAGAUGAGUUCU
RNAcentral lists this ribosomal RNA (2777 nucleotides) under Salmonella enterica subsp. enterica serovar Saphra. RNAcentral describes it as "bacterial LSU rRNA". It matches the Rfam family "Bacterial large subunit ribosomal RNA". Lineage: Bacteria; Pseudomonadati; Pseudomonadota; Gammaproteobacteria; Enterobacterales; Enterobacteriaceae. The record is from RNAcentral.